GGCGCACGGGUGAGUACGCGUAUGUAACCUGCCCGCAACAGGGGGAUAACCCGGCGAAAGUCGGACUAAUACCGCAUAAAACAGGGGUCCCGCAUGGGAAUAUUUGUUAAAGAUUUAUCGGUUGCGGAUGGGCAUGCGUACCAUUAGGUAGUUGGUGAGGUAACGGCUCACCAAGCCCUCGAUGGUUAGGGGUUCUGAGAGGAAGGUCCCCCACACUGGUACUGAGACACGGACCAGACUCCUACGGGAGGCAGCAGUGAGGAAUAUUGGUCAAUGGGCGAGAGCCUGAACCAGCCAAGUCGCGUGAAGGAUGACUGCCCUAUGGGUUGUAAACUUCUUUUACAAGGGAAUAAAAUGAGAUACGUGUAUUUUAUUGCAUGUACCUUGGGAAUAAGCAUCGGCUAACUCCGUGCCAGCAGCCGCGGUAAUACGGAGGAUGCGAGCGUUAUCCGGAUUUAUUGGGUUUAAAGGGUGCGUAGGUGGGCUGUUAAGUCAGCGGUGAAAGUUUGUCGCUUAACGAUAAAAUUGCCGUUGAAACUGGUAGUCUUGAGUAUAGAUGAAGUAGGCGGAAUGCGUGGUGUAGCGGUGAAAUGCAUAGAGAUCACGCAGAACUCCGAUUGCGAAGGCAGCUUACUAAGGUAUAACUGACACUGAAGCACGAAAGCGUGGGUAUC
RNAcentral lists this ribosomal RNA (674 nucleotides) under uncultured Tannerella sp. RNAcentral describes it as "bacterial SSU rRNA". It matches the Rfam family "Bacterial small subunit ribosomal RNA", at positions 97 to 769 of the family's 1533-position model. The record is from RNAcentral. Lineage: Bacteria; Pseudomonadati; Bacteroidota; Bacteroidia; Bacteroidales; Tannerellaceae.